RNAcentral lists this ribosomal RNA (454 nucleotides) under uncultured bacterium. Its description in RNAcentral is "bacterial SSU rRNA". It matches the Rfam family "Bacterial small subunit ribosomal RNA", at positions 340 to 785 of the family's 1533-position model. The record is from RNAcentral.
UACGGAAGGCAGCAGUGGGGAAUAUUGCACAAUGGGCGCAAGCCUGAUGCAGCCAUGCCGCGUGUAUGAAAAAGGCCUUCGGGUUGUAAAGUACUUUCAGUCGUGAGGAAGGUGUUAAGGUUAAUAACCUUAGCAAUUGACGUUAGCGACAGAAGAAGCACCGGCUAACUCCGUGCCAGCAGCCGCGGUAAUACGGAGGGUGCGAGCGUUAAUCGGAAUUACUGGGCGUAAAGGGCACGCAGGCGGUUAAUUAAGUUGGAUGUGAAAUCCCCGGGCUUAACCUGGGAAUGGCAUUCAAGACUGGUUAGCUAGAGUCUUGUAGAGGGGGUAGAAUUCCAUGUGUAGCGGUGAAAUGCGUAGAGAUGUGGAGGAAUACCGGUGGCGAAGGCGGCCCCUGGGACAAAGACUGACGCUCAUGUGCGAAAGCGUGGGGAGCAAAACAGGGAUUAGGAAU